GACGAACGCUGGCGGCGUGCUUAACACAUGCAAGUCGAACGGAAAGGCCCUGCUUUUGUGGGGUGCUCGAGUGGCGAACGGGUGAGUAACACGUGAGUAUCCUGCCCUUGACUUUGGGAGAACUUCAGGAAACUGGGGCUAAUACCCGAGAGGAGCUCCUGCUGCAUGGUGGGGGUUGGAAAGUGUCGGCGGUUGGGGAUGGACUCGCGGCUUAUCAGCUUGAUGGUGUGGUAGUGGCUUACCAAGGCUUUGACGGGUAGCCGGCCUGAGAGGGUGACCGGCCACAUUGGGACUGAGAUACGGACCAGAAUCCUACGGGAGGCAGCAGUGGGGAAUAUUGCACAAUGGGCGGAAGCCUGAUGCAGCAACGCCGCGUGCGGGAUGACGGCCUUCGGGUUGUAAACCGCUUUCGCCUGUGACGAAGCGUGAGUGACGGUAAUGGGUAAAGAAGCACCGGCUAACUACGUG
This 468-nucleotide ribosomal RNA is filed under the name uncultured bacterium. RNAcentral's name for it is "partial 16S ribosomal RNA". It matches the Rfam family "Bacterial small subunit ribosomal RNA", at positions 28 to 507 of the family's 1533-position model. The record is from RNAcentral.